AGCGGCAGCGCGGGGCAACCUGGCGGCGAGCGGCGAACGGGUGAGUAAUGCAUCGGAACAUGUCCAUGUCGUGGGGGAUAGCCCGGCGAAAGCCGGAUUAAUACCGCAUACGCCCGAGAGGGGAAAGCCGGGGACCGCAAGGCCUGGCGCGAUUGGGUUGGCCGAUGUCCGAUUAGCUAGUUGGCGGGGUAAGAGCCCACCAAGGCGAUGAUCGGUAGCUGGUCUGAGAGGAUGAUCAGCCACACUGGGACUGAGACACGGCCCAGACUCCUACGGGAGGCAGCAGUGGGGAAUUUUGGACAAUGGGGGCAACCCUGAUCCAGCCAUUCCGCGUGAGUGAAGAAGGCCUUCGGGUUGUAAAGCUCUUUUGUCCGGAACGAAACGGUUGGCGUGAAUAUCGCCGACUACUGACGGUACCGGAAGAAUAAGCACCGGCUAACUACGUGCCAGCAGCCGCGGUAAUACGUAGGGUGCGAGCGUUAAUCGGAAUUACUGGGCGUAAAGCGUGCGCAGGCGGUUUUGUAAGCCAGAUGUGAAAUCCCCGGGCUCAACCUGGGAAUGGCAUUUGGGACUGCAAGGCUGGAGUUUGGCAGAGGAGACUGGAAUUCCCGGUGUAGCAGUGAAAUGCGUAGAUUUCGGGGAGGAAUACCGAUGGCGAAGGCAGGUCUCUGGGCUAUAACUGACGCUCAUGCACGAAAGCGUGGGGAGCAAAACAGGAUUAGAUACCCUGGUAGUCCACGCCCUUAAACGAUGUCGACUGGUUGU
Molecule: ribosomal RNA, 765 nt
Filed under: uncultured beta proteobacterium
Lineage: Bacteria; Pseudomonadati; Pseudomonadota; Betaproteobacteria
Description: bacterial SSU rRNA
Rfam family: Bacterial small subunit ribosomal RNA
Source: RNAcentral